Molecule: long non-coding RNA, 466 nt
Filed under: Capra hircus (goat)
Lineage: Eukaryota; Metazoa; Chordata; Mammalia; Artiodactyla; Bovidae
Description: lncRNA (ENSCHIG00000004357.1)
Source: RNAcentral
GUCAGACUGUCACCUGUCGCUUAUUGCUAACACUGGUCUUGCCUGUAUUAAUACCUUCCCUGUCCUCAUCCCAUGUAAUUUGUGAUUCUUAACCUAAAGUGAUGUUGGGAAACCUGAUCAUGAGGAGCUUGUUUGAUUUCUAUCUGAAAUUGGGAAUUUAGUCCCUCAACAACCAUUUACUGGGUCCCUGUACCUGUGCAGCAGCAGCAGUACCUGGGUGCAAGGCACAAGAUGGUGCAAGGGCUGAAGAAGAAAUCAUUUGUGAACCAUCUACACAGUGAGAAGUGUCUGAACUUCAGUGCAGAAGACCACAGCAACCAUGGGCGUGUAUAUUGGUAUGGAGAAACCGUAAUAUCUAAGCGAUGUGGAAAACUGUACCAAUGGAGAACAGCAAUCCCGCCCAGUCUCCAGGACUGCUAGGCUUUGCAUUAACCCAGGAAUGCCUGGCGCUGUUUCUGAAACAACC